UACGGGGGGGGCAAGCGUUGUUCGGAAUUACUGGGCGUAAAGGGCUCGUAGGCGGCCAACUAAGUCAGACGUGAAAUCCCCAGGCUUAACCGGGGAACUGCGUCCGAUACUGGAUGGCUUGAGUCCGGGAGAGGGAUGCAGAAUUCCAGGUGUAGCGGUGAAAUGCGUAGAUAUCUGGAGGAAUACCGGUGGCGAAGGCGGCAUCCUGGACCGGCAUUGACGCUGAGGAGCGAAAGCCAGGGGAGCAAACGGG
This 253-nucleotide ribosomal RNA is filed under the name uncultured bacterium. RNAcentral's name for it is "partial 16S ribosomal RNA". It matches the Rfam family "Bacterial small subunit ribosomal RNA", at positions 524 to 776 of the family's 1533-position model. The record is from RNAcentral.